Molecule: ribosomal RNA, 433 nt
Filed under: uncultured bacterium
Lineage: Bacteria
Description: partial 16S ribosomal RNA
Rfam family: Bacterial small subunit ribosomal RNA
Source: RNAcentral
AGCGAACGCUGGCGGCAGGCCUAACACAUGCAAGUCGAACGAACUCUUCGGAGUUAGUGGCGGACGGGUGCGUAACACGUGGGAACGUGCCUUUUGGCUCGGAAUAACUCAGGGAAACUUGUGCUAAUACCGAAUGUGCCCUUCGGGGGAAAGAUUUAUCGCCAUUAGAGCGGCCCGCGUCUGAUUAGCUAGUUGGUGAGGUAACGGCUCACCAAGGCGACGAUCAGUAGCUGGUCUGAGAGGAUGACCAGCCACACUGGGACUGAGACACGGCCCAGACUCCUACGGGAGGCAGCAGUGGGGAAUCUUGCGCAAUGGGCGAAAGCCUGACGCAGCCAUGCCGCGUGAAUGAUGAAGGUCUUAGGAUUGUAAAAUUCUUUCACCGGGGACGAUAAUGACGGUACCCGGAGAAGAAGCCCCGGCUAACUUCGUG